Molecule: non-coding RNA, 30 nt
Filed under: Gallus gallus (chicken)
Lineage: Eukaryota; Metazoa; Chordata; Aves; Galliformes; Phasianidae
Also listed under: 4 other names
Source: RNAcentral
UCGUACGUAGCAGAGCAGCUCCCUCGCUGC